Molecule: long non-coding RNA, 600 nt
Filed under: Olea europaea subsp. europaea
Lineage: Eukaryota; Viridiplantae; Streptophyta; Magnoliopsida; Lamiales; Oleaceae
Source: RNAcentral
CUCCAUCAUUGAUAUUAAGCAUGCCAGAUAACACUACUUUUAACCAAUUAUGCUAGUUGUAUAUUUUUGGGUUACAUUGUGGAUGAGAUUCCUCCUAUGUAAAUGAAAUUUUGCCAUUAAUUAAAAUAAAUAAAUAAAUAAAAGUGUUGCUAAAAUAAAUGUGCCAAAAAAAUGCCACCACACACAAUGUCAAAAUUGAUAUUAUAUCUAGCAAAACUAGUAGUGGCUCGAAUUUUUUUUUUCCCUGAAAAAUUUCAAACUUUUUCUUCACAUUUUUUAUGAGGCUUGUGAACUUUUAUCUCAUGGGCCGUGCCCACGAGCUUCUAGUGAGCUCAACUAGCCGAGCAAGCCGCUGGAUCCCACCCUUGUCGGCUCGUGACAAGUCCAAGUCAUCCACGAGUCAAGCUUUAACGAGCCAACGAGCCACUCGAUUCGUUUGACAUCCCUAAGCUGUAAAACUGAUUUUUAACCUGUUAAGUCAACAAGUGUGUUAAAUCUAUGCAAAUCGAAUUCCUAAAAUCGAAUCAUUAUUUUCUUAUUAUUUAUAUUGUUGGUAAGUUAGUUUGCUUUUGCUUAAACAGUGUAUCUUGGAAUAGGUUG